RNAcentral lists this ribosomal RNA (447 nucleotides) under uncultured Thauera sp. RNAcentral describes it as "bacterial SSU rRNA". It matches the Rfam family "Bacterial small subunit ribosomal RNA", at positions 933 to 1382 of the family's 1533-position model. The record is from RNAcentral. Lineage: Bacteria; Pseudomonadati; Pseudomonadota; Betaproteobacteria; Rhodocyclales; Zoogloeaceae.
UGGAUGAUGUGGAUUAAUUCGAUGCAACGCGAAAACCUUACCUACCCUUGACAUGUCUGGAACUUUGGUGAGAGCCGAGGGUGCCUUCGGGAGCCAGAACACAGGUGCUGCAUGGCUGUCGUCAGCUCGUGUCGUGAGAUGUUGGGUUAAGUCCCGCAACGAGCGCAACCCUUGUCACUAGUUGCCAUCAUUUGGUUGGGCACUCUAGUGAGACUGCCGGUGACAAACCGGAGGAAGGUGGGGAUGACGUCAAGUCCUCAUGGCCCUUAUGGGUAGGGCUUCACACGUCAUACAAUGGUCGGUACAGAGGGUUGCCAACCCGCGAGGGGGAGCUAAUCCCACAAAGCCGACCGUAGUCCGGAUCGCAGUCUGCAACUCGACUGCGUGAAGUCGGAAUCGCUAGUAAUCGUGGAUCAGCAUGUCACGGUGAAUACGUUCCCGGGUCUU